AUACGGAGGAUGCGAGCGUUAUCCGGAUUUAUUGGGUUUAAAGGGAGUGUAGGUGGGAUAUUAAGUCAGCUGUGAAAGUUUGGGGCUCAACCUUAAAAUUGCAGUUGAUACUGGUUUCCUUGAGUACGGUACAGGUGGGCGGAAUUCGUGGUGUAGCGGUGAAAUGCUUAGAUAUCACGAAGAACUCCGAUCGCGAAGGCAGCUCACCGGGCCGGAACUGACACUGAUGCUCGAAAGUGCGGGUAUCAAACAGGAUUAGAUACCCUGGUAGUCCGCACAGUAAACGAUGAAUACUCGCUGUUUGCGAUACACGGUAAGCGGCCAAGCGAAAGCGUUAAGUAUUCCACCUGGGGAGUACGCCGGCAACGGUGAAACUCAAAGGAAUUGACGGGG
RNAcentral lists this ribosomal RNA (393 nucleotides) under uncultured bacterium. RNAcentral describes it as "partial 16S ribosomal RNA". It matches the Rfam family "Bacterial small subunit ribosomal RNA", at positions 523 to 918 of the family's 1533-position model. The record is from RNAcentral.